RNAcentral lists this ribosomal RNA (253 nucleotides) under uncultured bacterium. RNAcentral's name for it is "partial 16S ribosomal RNA". It matches the Rfam family "Bacterial small subunit ribosomal RNA", at positions 524 to 776 of the family's 1533-position model. The record is from RNAcentral.
UACGUAGGGUGCGAGCGUUAAUCGGAAUUACUGGGCGUAAAGUGUGCGCAGGCGGCCGCGCAAGUCGAGUGUGAAAGCCCCGGGCUUAACUUGGGAAUUGCGCUCGAAACUACGUGGCUGGAGUGUGGCAGAGGAAGGUGGAAUUCCAGGUGUAGCGGUGAAAUGCGUAGAGAUGUGGAGGAACACCGAUGGCGAAGGCAGCCUCCUGGGCCAGCACUGACGCUCAUGCACGAAAGCGUGGGGAGCAAACAGG